UACGAAGGGGGCUAGCGUUGUUCGGAAUUACUGGGCGUAAAGCGCACGUAGGCGGACAUUUAAGUCAGGGGUGAAAUCCCAGAGCUCAACUCUGGAACUGCCUUUGAUACUGGGGUGUCUUGAGUAUGGAAGAGGUGAGUGGAAUUCCGAGUGUAGGAGGUGAAAUUCGUAGAUAUUCGGAGGAACACCAGUGGCGAAGGCGGCUCACUGGUCCAUUACUGACGCUGAGGUGCGAAAGCGUGGGGAGCAAACAGG
This 255-nucleotide ribosomal RNA is filed under the name uncultured bacterium. Its description in RNAcentral is "partial 16S ribosomal RNA". It matches the Rfam family "Bacterial small subunit ribosomal RNA", at positions 524 to 776 of the family's 1533-position model. The record is from RNAcentral.